GUGAUUGUAGCUCAGCUGGUUAGAGCGCUGGUUUGUGGCACCAGAGGUCGCCGGUUCGAACCCGG
RNAcentral lists this transfer RNA (65 nucleotides) under Algoriphagus sp. Its description in RNAcentral is "tRNA-His". It matches the Rfam family "tRNA", at positions 1 to 62 of the family's 71-position model. Rfam says of the family: Transfer RNA (tRNA) molecules are approximately 80 nucleotides in length. Their secondary structure includes four short double-helical elements and three loops (D, anti-codon, and T loops). Lineage: Bacteria; Pseudomonadati; Bacteroidota; Cytophagia; Cytophagales; Cyclobacteriaceae. The record is from RNAcentral.